AUAGGCUUUCAAUGGUCUUCCAAUGGUGCGACUGCUGUCGGCAUCCAAAGAUUUUCCAACUUGAAUAAAGCUUGGAGCCUUCUUGAAGGGUGGGUGAGAGCUUACAUCAAUCUUCCUGCUCCCCUGGAUCGCAGCGAAUGCAGCCUCCUCCUUCUCCUCCAUCAGAAACGUAGUCAUCUUCCAGGCCAACUCACAACAAAACAACUGACAGGAAGUUACAACUUCAAUUAGCACUGACGUGUGAAGUGAGACGUGUCGAAGCCUUUGAGCCCAACAAAUGGCAGGCUACCCCACCCAAAUCCAGAGACCUUGAAGCCCCCCCCCUGCUGUUCAGAGACCACACACUGGCAUUUUCUACAAGAACUCUGCCUCCAGAAAUGAAAGCUUCUCCCAACCUACUCCCGUUGCCUGCUGCACUGCUGCUAUGGGUUCCACCUGGCGAUCUGUUCACUGUCUGCCCUGGUUGUCUCCCCCACCACACUGUUGGGGCAAGUGACACUGGUCUUACAAUGGCUAGCCCCAAGUCGUUAUAUAUUUAAUUAUUUUCUUGUGCGUUUAGCUAUUUUGCUAAUUGCCUAAUGACUCCUUUGUGCUUUGUUGACUACGAACUUUCUUUAGCCAACCGUGGGACAGACUAUGUUUGUUCCCACACUCGGGAAUCUGACUCUCUAUUGGUUACACAGACUUUUGGCCUCCCAUACCAUUUCUAACCCUCUCUCGCCGGCUUUGUAUUCAUGUUACCUGAUGAAAUUGCUGUACAAUAUGAUCUUGUUGCCAUCUGAUGCACGUUCAGAUGUCAUAAAUCAGCACUGCAGAGAUCUCCCUGUACUAUGCCGUGCCUUGACUGUAUUACUGUUGAUGAAAUUUGGAAAUGUGCAUGUACACUCUGGCCCAUCUACUGUUGUUAGCCCCUCUGCACGUUAACACUUGAAGCUUAUUACCUAAACUAGAUCAAUUGAAAGUGUGGGUUCACAGCUUCAAUCCAGAUGUGCUGGUCAUUACUGAGACGU
This is a long non-coding RNA of Oncorhynchus tshawytscha (Chinook salmon), 1010 nucleotides long. The record is from Ensembl. NCBI's taxonomy places the organism in Eukaryota, Metazoa, Chordata, Actinopteri, Salmoniformes, Salmonidae.